This 419-nucleotide ribosomal RNA is filed under the name uncultured bacterium. RNAcentral describes it as "bacterial SSU rRNA". It matches the Rfam family "Bacterial small subunit ribosomal RNA", at positions 351 to 782 of the family's 1533-position model. The record is from RNAcentral.
GCAGUGGGGAAUAUUGCACAAUGGGCGCAAGCCUGAUGCAGCGACGCCGCGUGAGGGAUGACGGCCUUCGGGUUGUAAACCUCUUUCAGCAGGGACGAAGCGCAAGUGACGGUACCUGCAGAAGAAGCACCGGCCAACUACGUGCCAGCAGCCGCGGUAAUACGUAGGGUGCAAGCGUUGUCCGGAAUUACUGGGCGUAAAGAGCUCGUAGGCGGUUUGUCGCGUCGUCUGUGAAAACCAGCAGCUCAACUGUUGGCUUGCAGGCGAUACGGGCAGACUUGAGUAUUUCAGGGGAGACUGGAAUUCCUGGUGUAGCGGUGAAAUGCGCAGAUAUCAGGAGGAACACCGGUGGCGAAGGCGGGUCUCUGGGAAAUAACUGACGCUGAGGAGCGAAAGCGUGGGUAGCGAACAGGAUUAGA